CCGUAACCCUGCCCUUGACCCCAGGCCCGGCCCAACCCCGACUCUGAGGGCUCGGCGGAGCCACGGCGACGCCUGCGCCUGCGCAACCCUCUGCAGCAGUAGGUGCCCAGCCGGCCGUAGGAUUCGUGCGCCUUCCGCAGCUCGGAGCCGGACAAAUUCCUGGGCAGAGAUUCCCAUGGCUCCUACUUCUCUUACAUGUGGAUGCACUGAGUGGUGAGAUGGCUGCUUGGGGUGAGUCCAGCUGGGACCUUAAGCGGGCAGUUGACACGAGGACUCCUCUGGCAAGUGGCAGAAAUCCUGGACCGCACAAUCUCCAGGAAGAAGAAACAUACAGAGAUGGGCAUCGCCCACCUGCUGGUAGAGGGAGUCUACACUGCGGCCUUCCCACUGCGUGAGGAAGAGAUGUCCCAAGCUCAGAUCUCUCCCAGGCCUGACAGCAUAGCAGCAGUGGCUGGGGCAUCCGGAGAGCACUCUCAAACCUCCCUGCAGCUCUCCCUCCUUUUGUCCUCCUAGGGCCUCUUUGAACUGCCUGGGUACCAGGUACCCGGUUCAGAUCUCAACUCUUGCCAAUUGCUGUACCCAUACUGGGCUUGCUGGGGAUACUGGCACAAGUACCAGCCCCUGGACCAGCCUUUGGACAAAGUAUGAGAGUACUUUGGGGUGAAGGUGGUCAUCCACUUUGCCUGGCUAGAUGAGUCUGGCGCUGGGGUGGGGACUGGGAGUGGGGCUUGAGUGCAGAGAUGGGGGUUCAUGAGCUUUCUCUCACCCUUCAGGUUUCUACAUGGCCUGUCUGCUGCCUGUGACCCUGGUGGGCACCCUGCUCUUUAUCUCUAGCCUUGUCACCGUGGGGACCAACACACUAGUGUGGGUGGCUGUGGAAGGGUUGGGGGAUGGGCUGGGUGGGCUAGGUUGUCUGCCUGGUUGAGGAUAGGCCCUCCCAGGAUAGGCACCCUCUGCUCACAGACAGGAGAUCUGUGCCAGUGGGGGUGCCACUCUGUGAUACCUGUGCCACGUGGAAUAUUUCUGGGAUCUGCCCCAUGGCCAAGGUGAGCCAAGGAAAGGGGCAAAAAAACCAGGUAGGUAUUUUGGACCCAACCUGGGCCUGGAUGCUGGCCCUACCUUGUGCCCUCUCUCCCCUCCUCACAGCUGAGCUGCCUCUUUGACCACCCAGGAACCGUGUUCUUCAGCAUCUUCAUGUCCUUCUGGGGCCAUGGCCUUCCUGGAGCACUGGAAGCAGGGAGUGCCACCUUGGCCCACCACUGGGACUGCAGUGACUUCCAGGACCAGGAGGCAAUGCCCAGUUCAGCCCCCCACCACUGGGACUGCAGCGACUUCCAGGACCAGGAGGUGAUGCCCAGUUCAGCCCUCCACCACUGGGACUGCAGCGACUUCCAGGACCAGGAGUUUGUCAAUUUCUAUUCUUCUCCCUUCUACAUGGCAUUCUUCAAAGGCAGGGGGCAGUGAUAUUUCAGAGACCAAGAAUGACUAUGUGGGAAGUGCAGAGUUGAGAGCACUGGACUCGAGUCUAACAGAUUGGAUUUGAACACUGGCUCCACCACUUACAAUUUGGGGAGCCUGGGCCAAAUUCUCCAGGAAACGGAAGGCUUGGUGGCAGAAGUGGCAGCUGGCAGGGCAGAGGGACACCCAGAUCGGGCAGGAGCUGCAGCACUGGGAGAAGGAAGGACUAUGAGCUCAUCAAGUGUCAGGGCCUGUUUGAUGAAUACCCAGGGAUGGAGGAGCAGUCGCUCAGCAGCGUGUGCCCUGGGCAUGAGUGGGGCCCCUGGGGGCCUGGCACAACAGGGGAGGUGGCCCCGGGCCUGACACUCCCUGCCUGCCAGAGCUGCAGUUUGGGUUCAUCACCAUCUUUGUGGGAGCCUUCCUGCUGGCACCCCUGUUCACUCUGCUCAACAACCGGGUAGAGAUUGGACUGGACGCCCACAAGUUCCUGUGCAAGUACCAGCGACCAAUGGCUGGGCGCGGCUGGACAUCUGGAUCUGACUGCUCCUGCUGGAGGCCAUGGUACACCUUGAGGUCACCGUGAAUGGGAGUGAGGCUUUCGUCUCGCCUUCAUCUCGGACUUCUGCCGCAUAUCCCGUAACAGUACGAACACCACACCCAGCUGCACGGAUUUGUGAAUUUCACGCGGGCACCCGCGCCCCAUGCCCACCUGGCCCAGAGCAAACACACUCUGCCCUUCAGGCUGGGGAGGAGGGGCGCGGCGGGAGGGGCGGGGCCCUGAGCUUUGGUGGGCGAGGCCUUCCUGGGAAGGGCGUGGCGCUGAGCCUUGGUUGGCGGGACGCUGAGGCGGGAGGGGCAGGGCUGUCUGGGAAGCACGGCGCUGAGCCUUGGUGAGGGAGGCCGGCCUGGGAGAGGGCGGGUGCUAAGCUUUGGUGGGCGGGGCCUGUCUGGGAGGGGCAGGUGCUGAGGAGGGAGGGGCGGGGCCUAGCUGGGAAGCCGGGAGCCGAAACUGGACGGGUGGGGUGGUGCCUGGCUGGGGUGCAGUGAGCUGAUUCUGCCCCGGACAAAUGCGCGGAGCCGGCUAGGGUACUGGCUGAACGGGCAGGGCCAGAUUCUAGGGAGAAGGAGGGGAGGAAAUGCGGGGUUCGGAGUCGAGAUCCGAGAGCCUCUCCAGACCCCGCAACCCAGAUACAAGGCCUCUCGCGACGUGGGGGUGAACCUCGCCCUCUUCUACUGGAAGCUGCUGGCUGUGCAUGUGCAUCUGGGUUUCAUUAUCGCCUUCGAGAAUGUAGUGUUCUUCUUCCUGUGCCCCAACGACCGGCUCGUGCCCGAUGUGCCAGCCCUGGCUACCAAGAUAACUGCGCGAGCGCUACCUGGCCAAGCAGGCGGUGGCAGACAACCGGGAGACGCUGUUUCAGUCAGCAAGGCAGGCGGACCCCGGCCCCACCCGCAACAUAAUGACCAUAAUGACCACGCCCCUUGGCCUGCCCUCAAGCUUCAGCUCAGCCCUCUCUAGUUCAGCACUCUCUAGCCCCGCCCCCUUAUUUGGCCUCAUCCAUUGGAGGGAUUGGCUGGACUCCCUGUAGUUUCCGCCUGUUCCCGCCCAUCAUUAAGCUCCGCCCCCGCCAAGCCCCCUUUUCUACUUUAUCUGCAAGCUGGGGUUGGGGGCUCUGCUCUGGAGUGCCAGCCUGCUCAGCCUGACCAAGCUGUGCUCUAUGUCCGCACAAGGGACGCAGGGGCGUCCAGGACGCAGGGGCGAGUGAGGCAGGGCUGCCCUUCCAGGACCCUAGGUUCCCCAGGAUGCUCCUCCUAUUGGGGUCCUCUGGCUUCCAGUUACGCAUCUGGGCAGUGUCCCAAGGCCGGUCCGGGAGUUGGAUGAGAGGAUUGGAGUUCCCUGGAGACCUCCAGACCUGCACUGCUACCCUUCCGUGUUCUUGCCUCCUGGCCUCUGUGCAAUGCUGACAAUAAACCUGUCUCUGCGUCCCAGA
This is an RNA transcript of Homo sapiens (human), 3446 nucleotides long. It is a transcript of the gene named anoctamin 7 like 1 (pseudogene), with no coding region annotated. The transcript is spliced from 7 exons. The record is from RefSeq and is a predicted model, not a curated record. Lineage: Eukaryota; Metazoa; Chordata; Mammalia; Primates; Hominidae.